RNAcentral lists this ribosomal RNA (391 nucleotides) under uncultured bacterium. RNAcentral describes it as "bacterial SSU rRNA". It matches the Rfam family "Bacterial small subunit ribosomal RNA", at positions 1111 to 1502 of the family's 1533-position model. The record is from RNAcentral.
UUAGUUGCCAGCGAUUCGGUCGGGAACUCUAGGGAGACAGCCGGUGAUAAACCGGAGGAAGGUGGGGACGACGUCAAGUCAUCAUGGCCCCUACGAGUAGGGCUACACACGUGCUACAAUGGUAUGUACAGAGGGAGGCAAGCUGGCGACAGUGAGCGGAUCUCUUAAAGCAUAUCGUAGUCCGGAUCGCAGUCUGCAACUCGACUGCGUGAAGUCGGAAUCGCUAGUAAUCGCAAAUCAGAAUGUUGCGGUGAAUACGUUCCCGGGCCUUGUACACACCGCCCGUCACACCAUGGGAGUGGGUUGCAAAAGAAGUAGGUAGCUUAACCUUCGGGAGGGCGCUUACCACUUUGUGAUUCACGACUGGGGCGAAGUCGUAACAAGGUAACCA